GGAGGGAUGGCUCAGUAGUUAAGAAUAUUGGUUUCUAUUCCAGAGGACCUGGGUUCAAUUCCCAGUACCUUCA
This 73-nucleotide transfer RNA is filed under the name Cricetulus griseus (Chinese hamster). It matches the Rfam family "tRNA". Rfam says of the family: Transfer RNA (tRNA) molecules are approximately 80 nucleotides in length. Lineage: Eukaryota; Metazoa; Chordata; Mammalia; Rodentia; Cricetidae. The record is from Rfam by way of RNAcentral.